UGUGAGAAGAGUUCAGGAUGACUCUGAGUGUUUGGUCUUGAACAGAUAGAAGAUUAAGAUAGAAAGACUCCAGCUGGAACAGGCUUGGGCAGAGAGGAGCUUGGGGAUGUAAAGAGGAAGAUGUAUGUUACACGCUGUGGUUACCAUUCCUUGUAUCCUCUAGAACACAUUGUCCCCAUUCCUGAUGGGGGAUGGCAGUGUGAUUGGCUUUGGUUGGUGGGUCAUUGCAUGUAAAAUGAAGCAGGGGAAUGAAAUGUGCCCCCAAGGGUGAUCUCAACCUCUUGUGCUUUUACAUCCUUAUGAGAAGAGGUUUCUCUACUAGCUGUGGUCUUCUGACCUGGUCCUCCAGUGAUUGUCAGUGAGACACUUACCCAGCUACAGGUAGACCAGGGCUGUCUGCUGAGCCCACCUUAGGUCAUCAGACCCUCACUGACCUGCAGGUCCAAGAGGAUCAAUGACUGCUAUAAUAAGUGACUGAGUUUUGAAGGAAUCUGCAGAAGUUUUAUGGCAGUAACUCACAAAUAGAGCCACUAAACAGAGAAGUGAAAUAGAAAUUUGGAGGUAGCAGUAUGGAGUUCAGAAGAUGUCUGGGCUAGAGAGAGAAAUUUAGGAGUUAUUGGAAUAUUAAUGAUAUUUAAAGCCUCGGGAUGAAAUGAGAUCACCAUGGGAGGGAAGGUGGUAGAGAAGGUGACCAAGGAUUGUAUUACUGCACUGUUAGAAGAUUCUAGAAAAGAGGCAGCCAGCAGCAAAAACUGAAAAGAAGAAACCAUUGAGAUCGAAGGAAAACUGGUUGCCUGAAGUAGACAAAAAGAAUUAGUUUUUUUUUUUUUAAUUAAAAAAAUUUUUUUCCACUGUACAUCAUGGGGACCAAGUUACACUUACAUGUAUACAUUUUUUUCCCACCCUUUGUUCUCUUGCAAUAUAAGUAUCUAGACAUAGUUAUCAAUGCUAUUCAGCAGGAUCUCAUUGUAAAUCCAUUCCAAGUUGCAUCCGAUAACACCAAGCUCCCAAUCCCUCCCACUCCCACCCCCUGGUCAGCCACAAGUCUAUUCUCCAAGUCCAUAAUUUUCUUUUCUGUGGAAAUGUUCAUUUUUGCUGUAUAUUAGAUUCCAGUUAUAAGUGAUAUCAUAUGGUAUUUGUCUUUGUCUUUCUGGCUCAUUUCACUCAGUAUGAGAGUCUCUAGUUCCAUCCAUGUUGCUGUAAAUGGCAUGAUAUUCUUUUUUUAUGGCUGAGUAGUAUUCCAUUGUGUAUAUAUACCACAUCUUCCUAUUCCAAUCAUCUGUUGAUGGACAUUUGGGUUGUUUCCAUGUCCUGGCUAUUGUGAAUAGUGCUGCAAUGAACAUGCGGGUGCAUGUGUCCCAAGAGUAGGAUUGCAGGGUCAUAUGGUAGUACUAUGUAUAGAUUUCUGAGGUAUCUCCAAACUGUUCUCCACAGUGGCUGUACCAGUUUACAUUCCCACCAGCAGUGCAGGAGGGUUCUGUUUUCUCCACAAACCCUCCAGCACUUGUAUUUGUGGACUUAUUAAUAAUGAUGGCCAUUUUGACUGGUGUGAGGUGGUAUCUCAUGGUAGCUUUGAUUUGCAUUUCUCUUAUAAUCAGUGAUGUUGAGCAUUUUUUCAUGUGCUUGUUGGCCAUCUGUAUGUCUUCCUUGGAGAACAAUCUAUUCAGGUCUUUGGCCAUUUUUCCAUUGGGUGAUUGGCUUUUUUGCUGUUGAGUUGUAUAAGUUGCUUAUAUAUUCUAGAGAUUAAGCCCUUGUCCGUUGCAUCAUUUGAAACUAUUUUCUCCCAUUCUGUAAGUUGUCUUUUUGGUUUCUUUUGGGUUUCCUUUGUUGUGCAAAAGCUUUUCAGUUUGAUUAGGUCCCAUGGGUUUAUUUUUGCUCUUAUUUCUUUUUUUUUUUUAUUAUUAUUUUCCCACUGUACAGCAAGGGGGUCAGGUCAUCCUUAGAUGUAUACAUUGCAGUUACAGUUUUUUUUCCCCCACCCUUUCUUCUGUUGCGACAUGAGUAUCUAGACAUAGUUCUCAAUGCUAUUCAGCAGGAUCUCCUCGUAAAUCUAUUCUAGGUUGUGUCUGAUAAGCCCAAGCUCCCGAUCCCUCCCACUCCCUCCCCCUCCCAUCAGGCAGCCACAAGUCUCUUCUCCAAGUCCAUGAUUUUCUUUUCUGAGGAGAUGUUCAUUUGUGCUGGAUAUUAGAUUCCAGUUAUAAGUGAUACCAUAUGGUAUUUGUCUUUGUCUUUCUGGCUCAUUUCACUCAGGAUGAGAUUCUCUAGUUCCAUCCAUGUUGCUGCAAAUGGCAUUAUGUCAUCCUUUUUUAUGGCUGAGUAGUAUUCCAUUGUGUAUAUAUACCACUCUUCCGAAUCCAAUCAUCUGUCGAUGGACAUUUGGAUUGUUUCCAUGUCCUGGCUAUUGUGAAUAGGGCUGCAAUGAACAUGCGGGUGCAUGUGUCUCUUUUAAGUAGUUUGCUCUUAUUUCUGUUGCCUUGGGAGACUGACCUGAGAAAAUAUUCACGAGGUUGAUGUCGGAGAGUGUUUUGCCUAUGUUUUCUUCUAGGAGUUUGAUGGUGUCCUGUCUUAUAUUUAAGUGGUUCAGCCAUUUUGAGUUUAUUUUCGUGAAUGGUGUGAGGGUGUGUUCAAGUUUCAUUGAUUUGUAUGCAGCUGUCCAGGUUUCCCAGCAAUGCUUGCUGAAUAGACUUUCUUUUUCCCAUUUUAUCUUCUUGCCUCCCUUGUCAAGGAUUAAUUGACCAUAGGUGUCAGGGUUUAUUUCUUUGUUCUCUAUUCUGUUCCAUUGGUCUGUCUGUCUGUUUUGAUACCAGUACCACACUGUUUUGAUGACUGUGGCUUUGUAAUAUUGCUUGAGAGAGUUAUGCCCCCUGCUUGGUUUUUGUUCCCCCUGCUUGGUUUUUGCCUUGGCCAUUCUGGGUCUUUUGUGGUUCCAUAUAAAUUUUUGGAUUGUUUGUUCUAGUUCUGCGAAAAAUGUCAUGGGUAAUUUGAUAGGGAUUGCAGUGACCCUGUAGAUUGCCUUGGGUAGCAUGGCCAUUUUUGCAAUAUUGAUUUUCCCAAUCCAGGAACAUGGAAUAUCUUUCCAUUUCUUUACAUCUUCUUUAAUUUCAUUGAUUAAAGUUUUAUAGUUCUCGGCAUAUAGGUCCUUUACCUCUUUGGUCAGGUGUAUUCUGAGGUAUUUGAUUUUUGGGGGUGCAAUUUUAAAAGGUGUUGUAUUUCUGUAUUCCUUUUCUAAUAUUUCAUUGUUGUUAUACAGAACUGUGACUGAUUUCUGAAUGUUAAUCUUAUAACCUGCUACUUUGCUGAAUUUAUUAAUCAGUUCAAGUAGUUUUUGGGUUGAGUCCUUAGGGUUUUCUAUGUAUAGUAUCAUGUCCUCUGCAUACAGUGACAGUUUUAUCUCUUCUCUUCCUAUUUGGAUGCCUUUUAUUUUUUUGUUUGUCUGAUCGUUGUGGCUAGGACUUCCAAAACUAUUUGGAAUAGCAGUGGUGAGAGUGGGCAUCCCUUGUUGUUCCAGGUUUGAGUGAGAAGGCUUUCAGUUUUUCUCCAUUGAGUAUUAUAUUUGCUGUGGGGUUGUCAUCAAUAGCUUUGAUUAUGUCCAGGAAUGUUCCCUCUGUACCCACUUUGGCAAGAGUUUUUAUCAUGAAUGGAUGUUGGACUUUGUCAAAUGCUUUUUCUGCGUCUAUUGAAAUGAUCAUGUAGUUUUUAUUUUUCUUUUGUUAAUGUGGUGUAUGAUGUUGAUUGAUUUGCAUAUGUUGAACCAUCCUUGUGAACCUGGGAUGAACCCUACCUGGUCAUGGUGUAUGAUCUUUUUGAUAUGUUGUUGGAUUUGGUUGGCUAAAAUUUUGUUGAAAUUUUUGCAUCUAUAUUCAUCAACGAUAUUGGCCGAUAGUUUUCUUUUUUGGUGUUACUUUUGUCUGGUUUUGGAAUUAGGGUGAUGGUGGCAUCAUAGAAUGUCUUUGAGAGUGAUCCUUAUUCUUCAAUCUUUUGAAAAAGAUUAAGGGGAAUGGGGAUAAGUUCCUCUUUAUAUGAUUGGUAGAAUUCACCUGUGAAGCCAUCUGGUCCCGGACUUUUAUUUGUAGGGAGUGUUUUUAUAACAUAUUCAAUUUCAUUUCUAGUGAUUGGUCUGUUUAGUUGGUCUAUUUCUUCUUGAUUCAGUUUUGGCAGGCUAUAAGAUUCUAGAAGAUUGUGCAUUUCUUCCAGAUUGUCAAAUUUGUUGGCAUAUAGUUGUUCAUAGUAUUCUCUUAUGGUAUUUUGUAUUUCUGCAGAAUCUGUUGUGAUUUCUCCUUUUUCAUUUCUAAUUUUAUUUAUUUGGAUUUUUUCUCUCCUCUUUUUAGUGAGUCUGGCCAGGGGGUUGUCAGUUUUGUUUACCUUUUCAAAGAACCAGCUCUUAGUUUUAUUAAUUUUCUCUAUUGUUUUUUGAAUCUCUAUUUUAUUGAUUUCCUCUUUGAUCUUUAUAGUUUCCUUCCUUCUGCUGACUUUAGGUCUUUUUUGUUCUUUUUUCAAUUCGUUUAGGUGGAGGGUUACGUUGUCAAUGUGAGAUCUUUUUUGAGGAAGGCCUGUAUCACUAUGAAUUUCCCUCCGAGCACUGCUUUUGUGGCAUCCCAUAGAUUUUGAGAGGUUGUGUCUUCAUUAUCAUUUGUCUCAAGGUAUUUUUGAACUUCCUUCUUGAUUUCCUCAUUGACCCAUUGGUUUUUUAGUAGCAUGUUGUUUAGUUUCCAUGUAGUAGGUUUUUUCUCAUUUCUUUUCCUGUGGUUGUUUUCUUUUUUUUAAUUUUUAUUUUAUUUUAUUUUUUGUCUUUUUGCUAUUUCUUGGGCCGCUCUCGUGGCAUAUGGAGGUUCCCAGGCUAGAGGUCGAAUCGGAGCUGUAGCCACUGGCCUACGCCAGAGCCACAGCAACUCGGGAUCCGAGCCGCGUCUGCAACCUACACCACAGCUCACGGCAACACCGGAUUGUUAACCCACUGAACAAGGGCAGGGACCAAACCCGCAACCUCAUGAUUCCUAGUCCGAUUCGUUAACCACUGCGCCACGAUGGGAACUCCAUCCUGUUGUUGUUUUCUAGUUUCAUGCCAUUGUGGUCAGAUAGGAUACUUGAAAUAAUUUCUCUGCUUCUAAAUUUGUUGAGGUUAGCUUGGUGUCCCAAUAUAUGGUCGAUUCUUGAGAAUGUUCCAUGUGCACUUGAGAAGAAUAUGAUUUUGAUUUUUUUGGAUGUAGUGUCCUGAAUAUGUCAAUUAAGUCUAACUUUCCUAUUUUUUCCUUUUUGAUCUCUGUUGCUUUAUUGGUUUUCUGUCUAGAGAAUCUCUCCAUUGGUGUGAGUAGGAUAUUAGUCUCCUACUAUGAUUGUAUUCCCCUCAAUUUCUCCCUUUAUGUCUGUUAAUAUUUGUUGUAUGAUCUGGGUGCUCCUAUAUUUGGGGCAUAUAUGUUGAUGAUAGUAAUGUCUUCUUCUUGAAUGGAUCCCUUAAUCAUUAAAUAGUAUCCUUUUUUGUCUUUAUGUCUUUUGUUUUAAAGUCUAUUUUGUCUGAUAUGAAUAUUGCAACUCCUGCUUUCCUGUCACGUCUAUUGGCAUGAAAUAUUUUUUCCCACCCCUUCACUUUCAAUCUAUAUGUGUCCUUUGUCCUAAGGUGAGUUUCUUGUAGGCAGCAGGUUGAAGGUUUUUGCUUUUUUAUCCACUCAGCCACUCUGUGUCUUUUGAUUGGAGUAUUCAGUCCACUGACAUUUUGGGUGAUAAUUGAUAGAUGAUUAUUUAUUGCCAUUUUAAACCUCGUGUUCCAGUUGAUUCUAUGAUUCUUCAUUCUUCUUUUCUUUUUUUGGUUGGAAGGUCUCCAAUUAUUUUCUGCUUGAGUGGUUUUUUUUUUUUUCAUUUUUUGUGAAUUGAAUGCAAUGUUUGUUUUUGAUUUGUGGUUGCCCUGUUUUUUAAGUAUGCUAACCCCUUCCUAUAUUUGUGUGUUUUAGCCUGAUAGUCCUGUGUGUUCAAAUACUUCAUUACUAUACU
RNAcentral lists this long non-coding RNA (5985 nucleotides) under Sus scrofa (pig). Its description in RNAcentral is "lncRNA (ENSSSCG00000051981.1)". Lineage: Eukaryota; Metazoa; Chordata; Mammalia; Artiodactyla; Suidae. The record is from RNAcentral.